This 381-nucleotide ribosomal RNA is filed under the name uncultured eukaryote. RNAcentral describes it as "partial 18S ribosomal RNA". It matches the Rfam family "Eukaryotic small subunit ribosomal RNA", at positions 592 to 976 of the family's 1831-position model. The record is from RNAcentral.
CAAUAGCGUAUAUUAAAGCUGUUGCGGUUAAAAAGCUCGUAGUUGGAUUUCUGUCAAGGACAACUGGUCCGCCCUCCGGGUGAGCACAUAGUUUGGUCUUGACAUCUUGCUGGAAACUGUUGCUGCACUUGGCUGUGUGGCGCAGUGUUCAGCACUUUCACUUUGAGGAAAUUGGAGUGUUUCAAGCAGGCACAUGCCUUUGGACACAGUAGCAUGGAAUAAUUAGAUUGGGCUUUUGCUCCAAUUUGUCGGUUUCUGGAGCUGAGGUGAGUAUUAAUGGGGAUUGUUGGGGGCAUCCGAAUUUAGCCGUCAGAGGUGAAAUUCUUGGAUCUGCUAAAGACGGACAACUGCGAAAGCGUUUGCCCAGGAUGUUUUCAUUGA